CUGUAAAUGCACUGUUGUGGAAGUCCUGCACCCUGUGGCAUACUUCUGUCACAGAGCUUUGAAAGAAAAGCUUGUGCAAAAGCCAAAACAGUAGCGUUGUUGCUGAUGCUGUUGGUGCUGGAGUUGCAUAGGUGCCAGAGAGGAUGGCUGGGAAGGAGGUGUAGUGGCGAAGCCUUGGUUUAACACUGCUUGUCCCAUCAGUACAAUUGGAGAGCUGCUGCUGGAAGUCUGCACUUCCAAACUUUGAAACAUUUGUUGGGUUUGAGAGUAUCUGUGGAAGAAAGAAGCAAAAUGAUCAAGAACAAACUGCUGGAAGCAAAGGUGUUCUCUUAGGAUAGGGAUGGAAGUCCUUAGUCUUAAUAAAUAAUUCCUAAGAAAGGAUUUCAGUGCACGGGACGUGCUAAUAUGAAUGAUGGCACUGUUGGUAGCACUGCUUUCCCUUAAUCUGUGCAUGAGCUGGACUUGGAGGGCAGAAUACACCUCACCUCAAAAUCCAGACUCAUUAAAGAUUCUGGUUUCUGCAUGUCUUCUCUUCAGCCACAGCACUCACAUCCCAGGCUCAUUAAACCAAGUGGCCUUUGAUUCUGUAUUAAUAUGCUGAGCUCUGAACGGCAGCAAGAGAGAAGUAAACACCCCUCCCAUUCUGUUGCCUGUGCUUCCCUCUGACUGCCUGUAGGGUAGUAAUCUCUUGCAGAAAGAAGGGUAGGGUUGAUUACUUUUUAAGCUGCUCAUAUACCUAUUGCCAAGUACGGCCACCAGUUCCCAUUGCUGUGAGCCCCACUGUAGGAACAGAAGAAGCCGCUAAAAGUCCUCUGGAGUGAGAGAUGGGACAGAAACAAAAUCCUCGGCUCCUCUUGCCAGUGUGCUUUUUGCAUAGUAAAACUUAAAUAUGUGUUGUGUGGAAGGCUGUGGACAAAACUACAAUGGAGCUAUUGCCAAGACAGCUUAACUCUGUUUAUCCUGUAAUGGGUGAUGAGAUCAUAGUGUGGCGUGUGUUCACUCAACAGCUGUUCAGCAUUAGGGGUUAGUCAGAAAUGCUACGAGUUUGGGUACUUGUACUAAGAUGUGAACUCCUAAAAAAGCAUCCUGUGAGUCGGGAAGUCUACACGAAGUGGAAGAUGUCUCUGCAAAUCAGAGCUGUAUUAUUUAGAUGCAUAAAAGCAGAUGUAAAAUGCUGUAUAUUUCAAGUUGACAAAUUAAACUCAAGAUAAUCUUAAACAGCAAUAGUGAUUUUUAAAUAAAGAAGUACUGAAUACCUCCA
Apus apus (common swift) is the source of this 1261-nucleotide long non-coding RNA. RefSeq lists it as uncharacterized. The transcript is spliced from 2 exons. The record is from RefSeq and is a predicted model, not a curated record. Lineage: Eukaryota; Metazoa; Chordata; Aves; Apodiformes; Apodidae.